RNAcentral lists this ribosomal RNA (469 nucleotides) under uncultured bacterium. RNAcentral's name for it is "bacterial SSU rRNA". It matches the Rfam family "Bacterial small subunit ribosomal RNA", at positions 26 to 518 of the family's 1533-position model. The record is from RNAcentral.
GCUAGGAUGAACGCUGGCGGCGUGCCUAACACAUGCAAGUCGAGCGAUUACUUCGGUAAAGAGCGGCGGACGGGUGAGUAACGCGUGGGUAACCUGCCUCAUACACAUGGAUAACAUACCGAAAGGUAUGCUAAUACAGGAUAAUAUAAGAGAUUCACAUGGAUUUCUUAUCAAAGCUCCGGCGGUAUGAGGUGGACCCGCGUCUGAUUAGCUAGUUGGUAAGGUAAUGGCUUACCAAGGCGACGAUCAGUAGCCGACCUGAGAGGGUGAUCGGCCACACUGGAACUGAGACACGGUCCAAACUCCUACGGGAGGCAGCAGUGGGGAAUAUUGCACAAUGGGCGAAAGCCUGAUGCCAGCAACGCCGCGUGAGUGAUGAAGGCCUUCGGGUCGUAAAACUCUGUCCUCAAGGAAGAUAAUCGACGGUACUUGAGGAGGAAGCCCCGGCUAACUACGUGCCAGCAGCCGC